CGAGGAGCAAGUGGCCUGAUUUUUGGAAGGUCAGAGCAUCUUCUCCUGCUGGCUGCCCAACAGCUCUGUAAAUCGGGCCAACCUUCACGUUUCUCAGCCCUGGCUGGCAGCCAGGCGAAGGGAGCCGGGAGGGCGCCGAGGGAUCUCUCCUGUCAGGAGGGCGCUGGGUGGAGUCUGCUGCUCCCCUCCCGGAGCCACCUCCAGCUUCGGCGAAACCUGUCGGGCGGUUUCCCCCACGGUGACAGGGCGGAGGGGCGGGAGGCAACGCGCCGCCUCGGAACAGGUCCGCCGUGCCGAGAGGAAGAGCCAAGCCCGGGCCUGGAGAGCGAGGGGGAAAGCGCGUCCCCACCGCCCCCCCCUCCCCGCGGCUCCUCAGCCUCCUUGGUGCAGUGGUUCUUAACAGUUCAACAGUUCUCUAUCAUAAUUGUGAAAUGUUUAGGACCACUUGACCAGCGAGGCCCGGGCAUCGGGCCGGCAGCGGCGGACGAGACCUUGCAGCGCCGGGGGCCGGCGGCAGAGAGGGGCCGGGCGCUGCGGGACCCCCGGGGGCCCGGAGCCCCCACGCGGAGCCGGGGGAUGGAGGAGUCCUGCUGCCACAACGUGUGCCGGCCGCCCUCCUGAAGGCAGGCUGCUGCGCUUGAUGUAUAACCAUUUAUUCUCUUCUUUCUUCUCUUUUAAUUAUUUUUCUCCGUCGAUCCAGAUGCACACAGAUUAAAACAAGUCGGGUUGGCUUUGCUGACCGCCAGGGCUGCACCUCAGAGGCUUACCAGCGGUAAUAUCUGUAACCUGUGAUGGCACUUUUUUUUUUUUUUGGUGAGUGCACUCUAACUAAGAGCAGCAUACAACUCGCACUGUGGUGGUUUGUGCUGUAUUUUCCAUGUAUGUGCUUACUGCCGGCAGUGAAAGGAUUAUCCAAACCUUCACCAGACCGACGUUAGAGGGUUUCUGGUUUUAAGACUGUUGCGUUGAUGGUCUGAUCGAAAGGUCUGUGGACUUAAUGGAGCUUGACAGACCUUAUUUAAACUCUGGGUCUUUUAAAAUAGAGUUGAAGAACUCAGUUUUUAAAAAGAAGGGGGAAAAGAUAUCUGGAAGGAGUGAUUCUGUCAACAACUUAUUUUUCUUUUAAAAGGAUAGUUUAGUAAAUGAGAAGUUCCUCCUACUUUUUGCUCGUUCUUCUCACUGUGCCCUGAGAGCCAAAUGGAACUAGAAAUGUGCUUUUUUUUUUUAAUCUUAUAUUUAAAUAAAAUGCUCAAGAGACUAAUUCA
Molecule: long non-coding RNA, 1265 nt
Filed under: Anser brachyrhynchus (Pink-footed goose)
Lineage: Eukaryota; Metazoa; Chordata; Aves; Anseriformes; Anatidae
Description: lncRNA (ENSABRG00000012206.1)
Rfam family: mir-203 microRNA precursor family (bases 376-455)
Source: RNAcentral